Molecule: ribosomal RNA, 274 nt
Filed under: uncultured bacterium
Lineage: Bacteria
Description: partial 16S ribosomal RNA
Rfam family: Bacterial small subunit ribosomal RNA
Source: RNAcentral
AUACGGAGGGUGCGAGCGUUAAUCGGAAUUACUGGGCGUAAAGCGUGCGUAGGCGGUUUGUUAAGUCAGAAGUGAAAGCCCUGGGCUCAACCUGGGAACGGCUUUUGAGACUGGCAGACUAGAGUUGCGUAGAGGGGAGUGGAAUUUCCGGUGUAGCGGUGAAAUGCGUAGAGAUCGGAAGGAACACCAGUGGCGAAGGCGACUCCCUGGACUCAAACUGACGCUGAGGUACGAAAGCGUGGGUAGCAAACAGGAUUAGAAACCCUAGUAGUCC